This 485-nucleotide ribosomal RNA is filed under the name uncultured bacterium. Its description in RNAcentral is "partial 16S ribosomal RNA". It matches the Rfam family "Bacterial small subunit ribosomal RNA", at positions 30 to 506 of the family's 1533-position model. The record is from RNAcentral.
AUUGAACGCUGGCGACAUGCCUUACACAUGCAAGUCGAACGGCAGCACGGGUGCUUGCACCUGGUGGCGAGUGGCGAACGGGUGAGUAAUACAUCGGAACAUGUCCUGUAGUGGGGGAUAGCCCGGCGAAAGCCGGAUUAAUACCGCAUACGAUCUACGGAUGAAAGCGGGGGACCUUCGGGCCUCGCGCUAUAGGGUUGGCCGAUGGCUGAUUAGCUAGUUGGUGGGGUAAAGGCCUACCAAGGCGACGAUCAGUAGCUGGUCUGAGAGGACGACCAGUCACACUGGGACUGAGACACGGCCCAGACUCCUACGGGAGGCAGCAGUGGGGAAUUUUGGACAAUGGGCGAAAGCCUGAUCCAGCAAUGCCGCGUGUGUGAAGAAGGCCUUCGGGUUGUAAAGCACUUUUGUCCGGAAAGAAAUCCUUGGCCCUAAUACGGUCGGGGGAUGACGGUACCGGAAGAAUAAACACCGGCUAACUACGU